UGGGGAAUUUUGGACAAUGGGCGAAAGCCUGAUCCAGCAAUGCCGCGUGUGUGAAGAAGGCCUUCGGGUUGUAAAGCACUUUUGUCCGGAAAGAAAUGGCUCUGGUUAAUACCUGGGGUCGAUGACGGUACCGGAAGAAUAAGGACCGGCUAACUACGUGCCAGCAGCCGCGGUAAUACGUAGGGUCCAAGCGUUAAUCGGAAUUACUGGGCGUAAAGCGUGCGCAGGCGGUUGUGCAAGACCGAUGUGAAAUCCCCGAGCUUAACUUGGGAAUUGCAUUGGUGACUGCACGGCUAGAGUGUGUCAGAGGGGGGUAGAAUUCCACGUGUAGCAGUGAAAUGCGUAGAGAUGUGGAGGAAUACCGAUGGCGAAGGCAGCCCCCUGGGAUAACACUGACGCUCAUGCACGAAAGCGUGGGGAGCAAACAGGAUUAGAUACCCUGGUAGUCCACGCCCUAAACGAUGUCAACUAGUUGUUGGGGAUUCAUUUCCUUAGUAACGUAGCUACGCGUGAAGUUGACCGCCUGGGGAGUACGGUCGCAAGA
This 544-nucleotide ribosomal RNA is filed under the name uncultured bacterium. RNAcentral's name for it is "partial 16S ribosomal RNA". It matches the Rfam family "Bacterial small subunit ribosomal RNA", at positions 355 to 893 of the family's 1533-position model. The record is from RNAcentral.